RNAcentral lists this small RNA (82 nucleotides) under Dokdonia sp. Hel_I_53. Its description in RNAcentral is "Dokdonia sp. Hel1_53 Flavo-1 RNA". It matches the Rfam family "Flavo-1 RNA". The record is from RNAcentral. Lineage: Bacteria; Pseudomonadati; Bacteroidota; Flavobacteriia; Flavobacteriales; Flavobacteriaceae.
UAAUAGCCCCGAUUGUAGUGAAAAUCCCGCAGCGGUCUGCCGGAGGCGUCGUGAGGAAUUGUAACGUAAAGCGGGAUACUCC